CCUAGAAAGGAUCUAAUGGAUCGUUGCCAACAGCUUUGAAAGACAUCAUCGGUAGAUGCUUCUAAAUACGGCUCAUGCACGCCCGAUGGGACGAUACCAUUACCUGAGAUUGAGGUCUAGGAAGUCACCCCAUCUACCUUGUAGUUUAAGCUCUUCAGCCCACCGCUAUUGAGAUGCAUACCAAGACCUGAGUAUACCCGUCUAGAUCCGCUUCAAAGCCAAGCAAAUAUACACAUCCAUCGAUAUAGGCCGUCUACGGAUCUUAGCUGGGGCUGCCGGUUUCUCCUCGCUGGAAAUCCAAUUUAGACUUGGUCGUCGGGAGCAGGUACGUAGUUGAAGUAGAGACUGCUCCGAGUGCCUCGACCAGAGAGGUAACCCUGAAGUAGAACCCAGCCGGGCCACUACCGGGGGCCGCGAUGAGUCGGUGCCUAGGCCCCCAUUUUUUUUAAAUAAAAACAUCCUCAUAAAUGGUUUCCAGAUGAUAACUUGACUCCG
Patiria miniata (bat star) is the source of this 495-nucleotide long non-coding RNA. RefSeq lists it as uncharacterized. The record is from RefSeq and is a predicted model, not a curated record. The transcript has 4 exons. NCBI's taxonomy places the organism in Eukaryota, Metazoa, Echinodermata, Asteroidea, Valvatida, Asterinidae.